GCGUAGCUCAGUUGGUAGAGCAUCAGCUUCCCAAGCUGAGGGUCGCCGGUUCGAGCCCGGUCGCCCGCUUCA
Molecule: transfer RNA, 72 nt
Filed under: Gemmatimonadota bacterium
Lineage: Bacteria; Pseudomonadati; Gemmatimonadota
Description: Gemmatimonadetes bacterium (marine metagenome) tRNA-Gly
Rfam family: tRNA
About the family: Transfer RNA (tRNA) molecules are approximately 80 nucleotides in length. Their secondary structure includes four short double-helical elements and three loops (D, anti-codon, and T loops).
Source: RNAcentral